CUUCGGGGACCUAGAGGAAGCAUCUAGGAUCGGAGAGCUACUGGGUGGGAGCGGAGAGGAAAGUAUUGUAUAGAGGGUGAAUAAAUGUCCUCUCAGAGAGCUAUAAGCUGUGAAGUAUAACUGGGCGCGAAUACACAAAGCAGGCUAUGUAUAUACUUCUCCAGCAUGUGUACUCAUCCAACAAGAGAUGAGAGCAUGAACUGCUUUGUCUCCACGUCUUGCUGUAUAAACACUGUCGGCUAGGGAAUUGUGUGUGUGUGUGUGUGUGUGUGUGUGUGUGUGUGUGUGUGUGUGUGUGUUUAAGUCCUUUACACUUAGGGGGAAAAUUCUGCUGCAGUUGCAGAAGAGAUUUAUUCCUGGCCAUUGCCAGAGAGUUGUUUGAAUUUUUAGGCAAAGCAAUCACCUUCCACCAUCAUAAUCCCAUAGUUAUUGAGUUAACUCUUCGGCUAACUAGGGAGUUUGUCCAAGUGUUAAACUUCCCCUACUUCUGCCCCUCACUACUAGUGAGAUUGGUUGUUCAUUCAGAGAGAGGGAAAUGAAAUUAAGAGCUAAGAAUAUGAGACCCUGGGUCCUAGAUGGGUUUCCCCCACUCUUCCCCGCAUCCCACCUCAGUGAUGCCUGGAAGAUUUUCUUUCAGCUUCCUAAUUCUCAAAGCUUGAAUAAGAAAAAGGAAUUGGGUUUUUUUUGUUUGUUUGUUUGUUUUUGUUUGCUUGUUUUAUAGCUAUUUGGGGGAAAGAGACGGAUCCAAAGAAGAUAUAGGACGGGCAGCUUGAAGUGCAACAGAGAUCACAGUGGAGAAAAGUUCUUGUUUUGUUUGGAUUUUUUCUGACAAGGAUUUUGCACUGAAAAUGAAGUGGGGGAAGUGCCUUCGGAAUCAGAUUCAAACCGCUGACAGAAAUCAUCAUGAUCCAGGACCACUUCCCUUCCCAAAAAAUUUGUGGACAACUAAAAUAGAAGCAAUUGAAAAUCAUAAGGAAUAUUACUGGUGGAGGUGGCUAUUAUUGUUGUUGUUGUUAUUGUUAUUUUUAAUAGAGUUGUCCAGGCUUGCUGACUACUCAUUUAGCCUCACAAAAUCUGACCAUUUAAGAAAGGCCAAGUCUGUCAGACAUGCCAGGAAUGUAUUUAUAAAUUCUUCAUGCUGUGUUUUCAUUUGCAGCUGCCGUUUGUGUUUCAUAUUGUAAGGUCAAAGCCACUCCAGUUAUUAAAUCUUUUCUAUAAUGCUAUAAGUCACCUAUCUAGUCUGAGACUAAGCUAAUUUCAGCCACAUCAGACAACAUAUGAUGCUGUUAAGAAAAGACUGAACAUGCUCAGAAAGCAAGCAGAUUUAGCGCAAACCUGUGGCACGGUGAUGGAGAUUUUUUCCUUAUACUUGGUCAGAAGAUCCAGUCUGGAAAAUGGUAGAAAAGGUACCUAUCUAAUCUCUACCCAAAUUUCCUAUUAAAAAACUAUAACAUAAUGCCUCAGAAUGAAUUCUGAGUAGCACAAACCACAAAAAGAUGAAGUGAAGUAAUUUUUCAACCCAAAACAACUUGAGAGGCCAGCACAAAGGAUCUAGUACACUGGAGUGAGGUUAAGUGCAAAGCGACGGACUAGGGCAGGCCCCAUUACAAUGGACCCUAGGCUCAGCUAAAGCAGUAGCAAACGUUUCAGGAACUCUCAGCCACAGAUGGUAAGAGGUAUAGGACAACUGCUCCAAAAGAUAUUACUGGUUCUGGGCACAAGACUCUUGUUGCACUGCCCAUACAUAGGUCCAAUAAGCAAUCCUGGGCCAUGUUCUCAGAGGAAGGAGGAGUACUAUCACACACCAGCACUUGAGGCCACAGGAGAGGAGACCCUGAUCACAGUUCCAAGGGGUAAAAAAGUACUUGUGGUUACCUCCAGAGUAGAGCACAAGCCUGGAGAAUAUUAAACACACCUUUUCUUACAUCAUAUCACCUUAGAGGAACUAAAAGCAGAUAGAUCCCCAGAGAUAGCACUGAAG
This 1981-nucleotide long non-coding RNA is filed under the name Monodelphis domestica (gray short-tailed opossum). RNAcentral describes it as "lncRNA (ENSMODG00000041696.1)". The record is from RNAcentral. Lineage: Eukaryota; Metazoa; Chordata; Mammalia; Didelphimorphia; Didelphidae.